RNAcentral lists this ribosomal RNA (253 nucleotides) under uncultured bacterium. RNAcentral describes it as "partial 16S ribosomal RNA". It matches the Rfam family "Bacterial small subunit ribosomal RNA", at positions 524 to 776 of the family's 1533-position model. The record is from RNAcentral.
UACGGAGGGUGCAAGCGUUAUCCGGAUUUACUGGGUUUAAAGGGUGUGUAGGCGGGUCUUUAAGUCAGUGGUGAAAUCUCCGAGCUUAACUUGGAAACUGCCAUUGAUACUAUUGAUCUUGAAUUCUGUUGAGGUAGGCGGAAUAAGUCAUGUAGCGGUGAAAUGCAUAGAUAUGACUUAGAACACCAAUUGCGAAGGCAGCUUACUAAACAGAUAUUGACGCUGAGGCACGAAAGCGUGGGGAUCAAACAGG